AUACCGGCAGCUCAAGUGAUGACCGAUAUUAUUGGGCCUAAAGCGUCCGUAGCUGGCCGCGUAGGUUCGUCGGGAAAUCCAUCCGCUCAACGGAUGGGCGUCCGGCGAAAACCACGUGGCUUGGGACCGGAAGGCUCGAGGGGUACGUCCGGGGUAGGAGUGAAAUCCCGUAAUCCUGGACGGACCGCCGAUGGCGAAAGCACCUCGAGAAGACGGAUCCGACAGUGAGGGACGAAAGCUGGGGUCUCGAACCGGAUUAGAUACCCGGGUAGUCCCAGCCGUAAACAAUGCCGAUUAGGUGUGGCACCGACUACGAGUCGGUGCUGUGCCGUAGGGAAGCCGAUAAAUUGGCCGCCUGGGAAGUACGUCCGCAAGGAUGAA
RNAcentral lists this ribosomal RNA (381 nucleotides) under uncultured bacterium. RNAcentral's name for it is "bacterial SSU rRNA". It matches the Rfam family "Archaeal small subunit ribosomal RNA", at positions 473 to 853 of the family's 1478-position model. The record is from RNAcentral. RNAcentral also lists the same sequence under 1 other name.